Molecule: long non-coding RNA, 1258 nt
Organism: Toxorhynchites rutilus septentrionalis
Lineage: Eukaryota; Metazoa; Arthropoda; Insecta; Diptera; Culicidae
Exons: 3
Source: RefSeq, a predicted model, not a curated record
UAUGUGGGUCAACACAGAUUUAUUGCAAUUCUUUUUAUGGAUGUUAAUUAGGUUUCUGUUAUAUUAUUUCAGGUUUCUUUGUUAUUUAGAUUUGCGGCAUACUGUUGGGAAUGAGAAAUAAUUAUAUUAUAAUUAUAUUAUAUUAUGCUAUGGCAAUUACCUUAUGAGAUUCGAACCGGGGUACUUCUCCAACAUGUGUGUUUCUCUGUUGUGCAUUUGCUAUCUGGACCACUGUUGAAAUAUAUAAAUGAAUUGAAAAUUGUCCUAUUUAAACAACCGCUCAGAUAUCUGCUCACAAAGAUCAUAUAUGAGCGGUUCUGGAAAUGAACAAGACAAACCUAUCGCAAUUCAAUAAUAAUUGGAAGGGUAAAAAUUUUCUGGUCUGUUCUACACGACGUCGGUUGUUAUUGAUCGCAUUACUCGUACGCGUUUGACGUUUCCAAAAAUCAAAACAAAAUACGUGUUCGGUCUGUUCCCCACUUGUAAUCGAUUUGUCCUUGUCGUUUUGAAUGAUUAACAGAAAACAUGCCCGAAAACUCGUUUAGACGUCCGAACAUUCCUAUCUGUGUUGCCUUCGUUGUGGAUAUUAAAAAACGGAUGGAGAUCCUAUGGACCGGACGAUUCAUAUAAUGACGAUAACGGCAAUGAUCUGUGCUUUUGGCCAAAAGACGGCUACCGUCUGCUCGAAAAAUCGAAGAAAAGGCCCCCCCAUCAAACCAGAUCUAAAAGUGUUGCGCGCUUUUCGGCGCAAGAUCAAAUUCUUGAGCUGUUCUGAUGUGUUCUGUGAGCUUAGGAUUAUGGAAAUGAAUUCCGAUACGGAAGAAAACAACACAAUGAUGAAAAUAAGACCAGCCUCAACGGCAGCUGACUUUUUCAAGCAUAUCCAACAUUCAAGCCCAGGGCCAUAUCGAGAAUCUGCAGCUUCAAACCAAGGCGUCGAAAUAGCAGAAAGUCCGUCGUCUGAAUCAAUAAAUGAUUCACAAAGCGAAAUGGAAUGCAACAGUUUAUCACAGUUGAAGAUGAACGGAAGUGAUAAAAAUCUAUUCCCAGUAUCUGGGCAGAAUCCAUCGAUGAAUAUGUUGAAUUCUGAUGAUGAUUUUACUGGAUGAAAUGAAUAUUACUCAAAGUGAAACUUUAUUGCCGCAGAAUAUCUUCUCGAGUCAUUCUUAAUUCUUUAUGUCUUAUAGAUCCACUUAGUCCCUAUUAUCACUGAUAUCUAACGCAAAACUCUGUGUAUUAUAUAUAAAAAUGAUACGUU